UUUCCGUAGGUGAACCUGCGGAAGGAUCAUUCAUAAUAGGUGUUUUGUGGCACUUUUUUAAAUCCAUAUCCACCUUGUGUGCAAUGUCAGGGUUGAUUUUUCUCUCGAGAGGAUCAACCCCAAACAUCAACUAUAUCUCAACUCUUUGUCUGAAAAAUAUUAUGAAUAAAACAAUUCAAAAUACAACUUUCAACAACGGAUCUCUUGGCUCUC
RNAcentral lists this unclassified non-coding RNA (213 nucleotides) under plant metagenome. RNAcentral's name for it is "partial contains small subunit ribosomal RNA, internal transcribed spacer 1, and 5.8S ribosomal RNA". The record is from RNAcentral.